AGUUGAGGGUAAAGGAGAUCAAAAAUGGAAGAUUGGCGAUGUUAGCUGUCAUGGGUGCCUGGUUCCAAGCCGAAUAUACUGGCACUGGACCUAUUGACAACCUCUUUGCUCACCUAGCCGAUCCUGGUCAUGCCACAAUAUUUGCUGUAAGUAGCCAUCCUCAUUCUUCAUAGUACUAAAUUCCAGUCUUUAACAUUAAAACAUACCGAAAAAACGGACACAUAAGCUGAUACCCAUAUAUAGGAUUUAGGAAUAAUGAUAUGGCACAUUCAUACUCAUCAACAAAAUAACCCA
RNAcentral lists this long non-coding RNA (294 nucleotides) under Daucus carota (carrot). RNAcentral describes it as "long non-coding RNA (DCAR_LNC006559)". Lineage: Eukaryota; Viridiplantae; Streptophyta; Magnoliopsida; Apiales; Apiaceae. The record is from RNAcentral.